AAAGUAUUUUUCCGGCGACGAGCCAUGGGCGGGAAGGCCGAGGCCUAAAAUGCAACAUUCCCGCGUCUCCCCUCCCAAAUUCCAAACCCGCCGAUCCCCUCCUCCCAUCUCGCCGGCGGCUAGUCGGCUAGUCCUCCACCACCGCCUCCUCUAGACUCAGGAACCAGAGGCGCGAUAUCUCCUCGGGCCUGUUUCUCGUCCCUCCUCCCUCCCCGGUGAAUCCCCCUCCCUCUCGUCUCGUUGCUCUUCAAUCUUCUUGUGUGGAUAAUUGUUGCUAUUCGUGACGCGAUUCCUUAAUUAUUACUUCUGCUUCUACUCAAUUGCUCCUUCGGUUGGAGGGAACCGGUAGUUUUGCUGGAUGUUCGUUGUGCUGGAAAAUUAGUUGAAGAGGAUUCCGUGCUUGUGGUGUGAUUUGCCAUCGCUGGAGUUCGAUCGGUUUAGGAUCUGCUCAGUUGUCGUGAACUCCACUAUGCUGGGCUGAUUCGUGGUACGAAUUUCGCUGGCUUCAGUUUUCUUGUUACUGCAGAAAUUUUGCAAUGUGUACUGCAUCCUUCUAGGAUGUGGAACAAUUUAGUGUUUUCACUAAUCUUUGCCUGUUUAAUGAUUAUAAAAUGAGCAGUAAAAGUACCUGCCCAGGUACUUGUCUCAACCUGUUCAAAUCUUCUUGAUGAAUGCCCGAACUGACAGUACUCCUGCAAUUUCAAGUCUCCGCUCACAAGCUGAAAUAUAUAUUAGUAACAUUGUAAUUUCUUGUCAGCUUUACCUCCAUUUUCACCUGAUUGGUGAGCAUAGAUUUAGGCAUUUGGCUCACACGACGACUCGUCGAAGAAGAUGGAUUCGUUGUCUGUUAAGAGAUCUCGGAUGCAAUUUGCAAACAUACCAAGUAGCAGUCCCUACCAACGGAAGCCUUCCUUUCCUGAUGUUGAAUGCAAACCCUCAAACACCAGCACUGCAUUUGAUGUUGAAUGCAAAUUGCAGCAUUUGGGAUUUUCAGUGCACAAGAUGGGAAUGGUGCUAGACUCGGUGCAAAAUGAUGUUAUUUAUAUAAACAGGGCCAUGAAGGACGCGACACUGGAUUCUAAUAGCAUAAAGAAAAAGGCAGUUGUUCUGGAGAAGUCACUUCAGGAAAUCUGUAAGGGAGAAGAAGAUCUUAAAGAACUAGUAGAGAACUGUACCAAAACCAAUCCUGAUCAGCUGAAUGUUAUGAACUCCCACUCCAGUAAUCUGGAAGAAAUAUCCUUGACUCUUUCAGCAUGGCCAAAAAAAAUACAAGCAGAGUUAAGGUUACUGCAGAGUGACAUCUCCUGUGUUCUUACAGAAGACAUGCAGGGCAUUGUUAGAGCUAUAAGAUCUUCUGAAAGUAGGUCUGCUGCAAUUGAAAUGCCGGACCAGAGCUGCACCAUCAACAAAAGACCCCUGAUGAACCCAAUGUCAAAAGUAAAUGAAAAUCCCCUGGCAAAUCAAGCAACAGAAGUGAAUGGAAGAUCCCUGGUAAGCACAACUCCAAUAGUGAAUGAAAGAUCUCCGUUGAAGCAAACACCAUUAGUGAAUAAAAGACCACCAAUGAACCAAACGCUGGUAGCAACUGAGAGAUCUCAGGUGAGUAAAACAUCUGUAGUGAACCAAAGACCACUGGUGAAUCAAAAACCCUUAGCAAAUGGAAGAUCACCGAUGAACCAAAAGCCAGUACCUAAUGGAAGAUCCCAGAGGAAACAGAAUCCUGUAGCAAGUGGACAGCUCACACUCUCUCGAAGAACAUAUAGGAAGCCUCAGAAGAGCCAAAUACCAGCAACAAAAGUCGUUCCUACACAUUCAGUUUGUCCUGGAACGGAGGGAAAUUUGAAUAUGGACGUAGAACAAGGAAAGGAACCAGUCUGUAAGAUCCUCAACUCGGAUUAUGACAGUGAACAGUGUGUUUCCAGCAUGAUUCUGAAUACUGAAAGAGGUGGUUAUCAACAGCAGAACUUUACCUUGUGUUUCUUUAUUUUUUUUCUGCCAACGUGGAGUCCCCCUCGAUAAAAGAAACUGCUGAAGAAAGCUUGCAGAUACUGAAGAGGGCCAGGAAGAGAACAGCAGAAAAGAAGUCCAUUGUUCCAGUCAAAGGUGCAGUCUCUGAAACUGCAAGAGCAUCUGACGAAACUGGAAGCCGUUUGUCGAAGAGGAAUUCUGGUCGAGAUCGUCGUCCUUCCGUCUGGUUCCACGGCCCUGAUUGGUAUCGGUGAUGAGUGGGAUAGUUGCCUGGUGUAGUCUGCAAUGAAAUUUCCCAUUUUAUGUUGUUUGUCCGGUUAUUCAACAGUCCAAGUUUACCGUGCCCUGUUUGGAGCUUUGGAUAGGGGUAUGCUACUGCUACAGUACCCUUCGAGGGAGGAAAACUCUUGUCAGCAGCUCCCUUUCUCGGAAGGUGAUGCACCUUUCGUGUCACAAGUUGCUCAUGCAAAAUUUAAAAAAAAAAUAAUAUGUGAAAGAACAGCAUAGAAUUGUUCUGCCUUGAUUUAAAUAUUUCGUUAUUGGCACCGAUAUUAAAUUUGUAAUUAGUUGGAGAAGCUGAAAUAUGGUGAUUGGACUUGUAUUCCUUUUGA
RNA transcript from Panicum virgatum (switchgrass), 2579 nucleotides. It is a transcript of the gene named protein PAIR1-like, with no coding region annotated. The transcript is spliced from 11 exons. The record is from RefSeq and is a predicted model, not a curated record. Lineage: Eukaryota; Viridiplantae; Streptophyta; Magnoliopsida; Poales; Poaceae.